Molecule: ribosomal RNA, 381 nt
Filed under: Stylurus intricatus
Lineage: Eukaryota; Metazoa; Arthropoda; Insecta; Odonata; Gomphidae
Also listed under: 1 other name
Description: partial 16S ribosomal RNA
Source: RNAcentral
GUCCUCUUGUUUAUAUAUGAGGUCUGACCUGCCCGGUGAAAUUAUUUUAACGGCCGCAGUAUUUUGACUGUGCAAAGGUAGCAUAAUCAUUAGUCUUUUAAUAGGGGGCUGGAAUGAAGGGUUUGACGAGGUGUUAACUGUCUCAUUAAAUUUGUUAUUAAAAUUUAACUUUUCAGUCAAAAGGCUGAAAUUUUAUUGGAAGACGAGAAGACCCUAUAGAGCUUUAUAGCUGAAAGUUUAAUUAUUAUUUGUUUAUUAUUUUUUAUUAUUCUUUUAGUUAUUUUGUUGGGGUGACAAAAAUAUAAAAUUAACUUUUUUAUUUAAUUAACAUUGAUUAAUGAAUAUUAGAUCCAAUCUUAUUGAUUGUUAGAUUAAGUUACC